This 493-nucleotide ribosomal RNA is filed under the name uncultured bacterium. RNAcentral describes it as "bacterial SSU rRNA". It matches the Rfam family "Bacterial small subunit ribosomal RNA", at positions 8 to 526 of the family's 1533-position model. The record is from RNAcentral.
AGAGUUUGAUCAUGGCUCAGCCUGAACGCUGGCGGCGUGGCUAAGACAUGCAAGUCGAACGGGUGCAGCAAUGCAUCAGUGGCGAACGGGUGAGUAAUGUAUCGCUAACGUACCCUUGGGUCAGGGAUAGCCGGGGGAAACUCCGGGUAAUACCUGAUAAGACCACGAUCCCGCAUGGGAAUGUGUUCAAAGGAGCAAUCCGCGCAAGGAGCGGGCGAUAUCGUAUCAGCUGGUUGGUGAGGUAACGGCUCACCAAGGCGACGACGCGUAGCCGGGCUGAGAGGUCGGCCGGCCACAUUGGGACUGAGACACUGCCCAGACUCCUACGGGGGGCUGCAGUAACGAAUCUUCCGCAAUGCACGAAAGUGUGACGGAGCGACGCCGCGUGUGGGACGAAGCCCUUCGGGGUGUAAACCACUGUCAGGGGUUACCAAGUUCUGAGGAGCCCCAGAGGAAGGCACGGCUAACUCUGUGCCAGCCGCCGCGGUAAUAC